This 74-nucleotide transfer RNA is filed under the name bacterium HR23. RNAcentral's name for it is "tRNA-Pro". It matches the Rfam family "tRNA". Rfam says of the family: Transfer RNA (tRNA) molecules are approximately 80 nucleotides in length. Their secondary structure includes four short double-helical elements and three loops (D, anti-codon, and T loops). The record is from RNAcentral.
UCGGGGAGUGGCGCAGGGGGAGCGCGCACGGUUCGGGUCCGUGAGGUCGCGGGUUCAAAUCCCGCCUCCCCGAU